This 72-nucleotide transfer RNA is filed under the name Ictidomys tridecemlineatus (thirteen-lined ground squirrel). Its description in RNAcentral is "Spermophilus tridecemlineatus (thirteen-lined ground squirrel) tRNA". It matches the Rfam family "tRNA". From Rfam's summary of the family: Transfer RNA (tRNA) molecules are approximately 80 nucleotides in length. The record is from Rfam by way of RNAcentral. Lineage: Eukaryota; Metazoa; Chordata; Mammalia; Rodentia; Sciuridae.
UGGAGUGUAGCUCAGUGGUAGAGUUCUUGCUUAGCAUGCAUGAGGCCCUGGGUUCCCUCCCCAGUACCACAG